Molecule: ribosomal RNA, 505 nt
Filed under: uncultured bacterium
Lineage: Bacteria
Description: partial 16S ribosomal RNA
Rfam family: Bacterial small subunit ribosomal RNA
Source: RNAcentral
GACGAACGCUGGCGGCGUGCCUAAUACAUGCAAGUAGAACGCACAGUUUAUACCGUAGCUUGCUACACCAUAGACUGUGAGUUGCGAACGGGUGAGUAACGCGUAGGUAACCUGCCUGGUAGCGGGGGAUAACUAUUGGAAACGAUAGCUAAUACCGCAUAAUAUUAAUUAUUGCAUGAUAAUUAAUUGAAAGUUGCAAUUGCACCACUACCAGAUGGACCUGCGUUGUAUUAGCUAGUAGGUGAGGUAACGGCUCACCUAGGCGACGAUACAUAGCCGACCUGAGAGGGUGAUCGGCCACACUGGGACUGAGACACGGCCCAGACUCCUACGGGAGGCAGCAGUAGGGAAUCUUCGGCAAUGGACGAAAGUCUGACCGAGCAACGCCGCGUGAGUGAAGAAGGUUUUCGGAUCGUAAAGCUCUGUUGUAAGAGAAGAACGGGUGUGAGAGUGGAAAGUUCACACUGUGACGGUAUCUUACCAGAAAGGGACGGCUAACUACGUG